This 26-nucleotide non-coding RNA is filed under the name Rattus norvegicus (Norway rat). Lineage: Eukaryota; Metazoa; Chordata; Mammalia; Rodentia; Muridae. The record is from RNAcentral.
UGGCAUAGAAGAUUUGGGAGUAAAGU